CUCCUUUGACGUUAGCGGCGGACGGGUGAGUAACACGUGGGUAACCUACCUAUAAGACUGGGAUAACUUCGGGAAACCGGAGCUAAUACCGGAUAAUAUUUCGAACCGCAUGGUUCGAUAGUGAAAGGUGGUUUUGCUAUCACUUAUAGAUGGACCCGCGCCGUAUUAGCUAGUUGGUAAGGUAACGGCUUACCAAGGCGACGAUACGUAGCCGACCUGAGAGGGUGAUCGGCCACACUGGAACUGAGACACGGUCCAGACUCCUACGGGAGGCAGCAGUA
This 281-nucleotide ribosomal RNA is filed under the name uncultured Staphylococcus sp. RNAcentral's name for it is "partial 16S ribosomal RNA". It matches the Rfam family "Bacterial small subunit ribosomal RNA", at positions 81 to 355 of the family's 1533-position model. Lineage: Bacteria; Bacillati; Bacillota; Bacilli; Caryophanales; Staphylococcaceae. The record is from RNAcentral.